Molecule: ribosomal RNA, 400 nt
Filed under: uncultured bacterium
Lineage: Bacteria
Description: bacterial SSU rRNA
Rfam family: Bacterial small subunit ribosomal RNA
Source: RNAcentral
CGAACGCUUCAGCAAUGAAGAGUGGCAGGACGGGUGAGUAACGCGUCGGGAACCUUCCAGUGGUACGGAAUACGCCAGGGAAACUUGGGGUAAUACCGUAUAAGCCCUUCGGGGGAAAGAGUUUAUCGCCAUUGGAUGGGCCCGCGUCGGAUUAGCUUGUUGGUGAGGUAAAAGCUCACCAAGGCGACGAUCCGUAGCUGGUCUGAGAGGAUGAUCAGCCACACUGGGACUGAGACACGGCCCAGACUCCUACGGGAGGCAGCAGUGGGGAAUAUUGGACAAUGGGCGCAAGCCUGAUCCAGCCAUGCCGCGUGAGUGACGAAGGCCUUAGGGUUGUAAAGCUCUUUUGGCGGGGACGAUAAUGACGGUACCCGCAGAAUAAGCUCCGGCUAACUUCGUG